AUGAAUGUUUAUAAUUAUAUUAGUAUUGAAGAGUUAAAAUAUGCUUUAGUAGCUAAAAGUGUAAAUUGUAAGGGACUUUUUUUUCUUAUUAUAAACUUUUUUUAUAAACCCAAAGCAGUUAAAAGUUUAAAAAAUUAUAUAGUGGACCUGAAAUUGAUGAUGUAUAACCAAAUUUUAAAAAAAAAAAAUAAAGAAAAGACUGAUAGAAAGAAAAGAAAAAAAAGAGAAAGAGAGAAGGCAAGACAGAGGGAGAGAGAAAAAACAGAGAGAAUGAUAGAACGAACAAACAAAACGAACUUGAAAAAAACAAACAAACAAUGUAUUCAUUAUUCUGCCUCACGUUUGCCCUCGCGUUUGCCCUCGCGCUUGCCCUCGUCCUCUUCUUCGUCGUCGUCCUCUUUUUACGAAAGUAGCUUUGAUAAUAUAUUUAAUUAUAAAAAUUUAAAAAAAAAAAAAAAAAAAGACUUGAUAGUAUAUAAUACAUAUAAGUGUUCUUCAGAAGAAAUAAAUUAUAAUACAACUGACACAUAUAAAGAGUUAAUAAAAAAAAAUCCACAAGCGAAUUAUGAUAAUUUUUAUAUAGCAGAAACAGGUGUGCAUGAUAAUAAUAAUAAUAAUAAUAAUAAUCGUCAUGGUUUCAUUGAUAAACAAGAAGAGUACAAAAACAAACAAGUUGUUAAUACAGAUAUACCCUUAUCUGUGGAAGUGAAUAAAAAUAGGAUGAUGGUUGUAGAUGAUAAUAAAAUUAUGUUAAAAAACAAUCAGGUUCCAGAGCGUGAACAAACUAGGCAAAGUGAGCAAACUACACAAACUGUACAAAGUGAGCAAACUGGACAACUAAGCAAUAGUAAAAAAUAUCAGUUACAAACAUCAUCAGACGUGAUACGAAACAUUAGUUACACAAAAUAUAAUAAUGUAUUAGAAAAAGUAAGUCUAAAUAUGUAUUACUAUUUAGAAGGCCUAAAAUACAACAUAUACAGGUUUUAUUUUCCUAAGUGUAUGAAAGGCUUAUUAUUUCAAACGGCUUCCGAAUAUUUAUAUCAAAAAUAUAAUGUUUUUUUAAUUGGUGUCAUAACUAUUAAUAAAGAAAUAUUUUUAAAUCCAGUUGAUUAUAUUAUAGGUGAAGAAAAAAAACAUUAUUAUACUUCUGCUUUUUCGGGUAUUAUAUUAACUACUACUUUAGAUUGUUUAGUGAAAUUAUGUUCUAUUAAAUAUAUAUCGAAAGAUGUAUAUGAAUAUAACACUAGACAAAUUUAUGCCAAGUGGAAAAAUAAAAAAAAUAGAAUGAGCACACGAAUUGAUGAACAUAGCAUGCCCAUGCCCUCUUUAGGUAAUAAAAACGUAGCAACUAACAUGAAUUUACAAAAGGGAAUUGGUUUUAACACAAAUAACAACAAAACUGAUAAAAAAAACGAUGAGUUUACUCUCGUAAAAGUGGAGAACAACAAUAGCGAUCAAAACUUAGAAAAUAGACAAAAUAAUUACUUAUUAUGUGAAAGCAAUAGUAGCAAAAACAGAAUAAGAAAAAAAUAUAUGGUAUAUAAUUUUUUUCUAGGUAUAUACGAAAUAGAUAACUAUAUUAUUGCAUAUAAAGAAAUUUUUUAUAAUAAAAAAAAACCACUGUUACUAAUAUGUGGUUGGCCUUAUAAUAUACAAUUAUUAUUUAAGUAUUUAAAAGUCGAUUUAUAUAACUAUGGUGACGACAGUAACGACAAAAAAAAAAAUAAUAAUGAAAAAAAAAAAAAAAGGUAA
This 1752-nucleotide long non-coding RNA is filed under the name Piliocolobus tephrosceles (Ugandan red Colobus). Its description in RNAcentral is "lncRNA (ENSPTEG00000014543.1)". Lineage: Eukaryota; Metazoa; Chordata; Mammalia; Primates; Cercopithecidae. The record is from RNAcentral.